Molecule: ribosomal RNA, 301 nt
Filed under: uncultured bacterium
Lineage: Bacteria
Description: partial 16S ribosomal RNA
Rfam family: Bacterial small subunit ribosomal RNA
Source: RNAcentral
CAGCAGCCGCGGUAAUACGUAGGGUGCGAGCGUUAAUCGGAAUUACUGGGCGUAAAGCGUGCGCAGGCGGUUAUGUAAGACAGGUGUGAAAUCCCCGGGCUUAACCUGGGAACUGCGCUUGUGACUGCACAGCUAGAGUAUGGCAGAGGGGGGUGGAAUUCCACGUGUAGCAGUGAAAUGCGUAGAGAUGUGGAGGAACACCGAUGGCGAAGGCAGCCCCCUGGGCCAAUACUGACGCUCAUGCACGAAAGCGUGGGGAGCAAACAGGAUUAGAUACCCCCGUAGUCCCUGUCUCUUAUAU